GAAGGCGGCCCCCUGGACAAAGACUGACGCUCAGGUGNGAAAGCGUGGGGAGCCAAACAAGAUUAGAUANCCUGGUAGUNCNCGCCGUAAACGAUGUUGACUUNGAGGUUGUUNCCUUGAGGAGUGGCUUNCGGAGAUAACGCGUUAAGUNGACCGCCUGGGGAGUACGGCCGCAAGGUUAAAAAUCAAAAGAANUGACGGGGGGCCNCACNAGCGGGGGAGCAUGUGGUUUAAUUUGAUGCAACGCGAAGAACCUUNCCUANUNUUGACAUNCCCGGAAUUUGGCAGAGAUGCCUUNGUUCCUUUGGGAACCNUNAGACAGGUGCUGCAUGGCNGUUGUCAGCUCGUGUUNUGAAAUGUUNGGUUAAAUCCCGCAACGAGCGCAAACCNUUUCCUUUGUUGCCAGCGCGUUAUGUCGGGAACUCAAAGGAGACUGCCGGUGAUAAACCGGAGGAAGGUGGGGAUGACGUCAAGUCAUCAUGGCCCUUACGAGUAGGGCUACACACGUGCUACAAUGGCGCAUACAAAGAGAAGCGACCUCGCGAGAGCAAGCGGACCUCACAAAGUGCGUCGUAGUCCGGAUCGGAGUCUGCAACUCGACUCCGUGAAGUCGGAAUCGCUAGUAAUCGUGGAUCAGAAUGCCACGGUGAAUACGUUCCCGGGCCUUGUACACACCGCCCGUCACACCAUGGGAGUGGGUUGCAAAAGAAGUAGGUAGCUUAACCUUCGGGAGGGCGC
Molecule: ribosomal RNA, 738 nt
Filed under: Pantoea sp. SP62D
Lineage: Bacteria; Pseudomonadati; Pseudomonadota; Gammaproteobacteria; Enterobacterales; Erwiniaceae
Description: partial 16S ribosomal RNA
Rfam family: Bacterial small subunit ribosomal RNA
Source: RNAcentral